CAGAAAAGUUGGACUACCAAGAGCUUGGAAAGAUGACGAGAACUCAACUCAUCCGAUAAAAUUUGAAUAUUCUGUAGUUUGGGAACUGCAUGUUGAAGGUACACAGUUCGAUCAUUCUGAAGGAUCUGAAAAUGAAAUAUUUAAAAUCGAAUUUUUACCUUUGUUAUCUUGCCUACAACAAGACAGUCCUCAGCUAGCUGAUGUUAUUAGAAAGAGAUUGUUACAAGAACCAUCCGUAGAAGAAUAAAACCUGGAUAAACCUAUAGAGGAGCAUUUAAAAGCCCAUGAACAAGUUCCCUAUGAGGUGGAUAGAAUUGUUUUCCAGGGAAAACUUAAAGAUGGAUUCUUUAUCGAAGCUGGAGCAAACAACUUUGAAGGACAUUCUGAUUCUCUAUAUUUUGAAUUGAACCAUGGCUGGACGGGUCUUUUAGUUGAACCACAUCCUCGACAUUUUAAAGAAGGAAUAGCAAAAAAUAGAAAAUCCUUUAG
Eurytemora carolleeae is the source of this 489-nucleotide long non-coding RNA. RefSeq lists it as uncharacterized. Lineage: Eukaryota; Metazoa; Arthropoda; Copepoda; Calanoida; Temoridae. The transcript is spliced from 8 exons. The record is from RefSeq and is a predicted model, not a curated record.